This 74-nucleotide transfer RNA is filed under the name Candidatus Wolfebacteria bacterium RIFCSPLOWO2_01_FULL_45_19. Its description in RNAcentral is "tRNA-Ala". It matches the Rfam family "tRNA". From Rfam's summary of the family: Transfer RNA (tRNA) molecules are approximately 80 nucleotides in length. Their secondary structure includes four short double-helical elements and three loops (D, anti-codon, and T loops). The record is from RNAcentral. Lineage: Bacteria; Candidatus Wolfeibacteriota.
GGGCCUAUAGUUUAACGGUAGAAUAUCUCGAUGGCAUCGAGAAGACCGGGGUUCAAUUCCCCGUAGGUCCACCA